This is a long non-coding RNA of Oreochromis aureus, 779 nucleotides long. NCBI's taxonomy places the organism in Eukaryota, Metazoa, Chordata, Actinopteri, Cichliformes, Cichlidae. The record is from Ensembl.
GAAAACUCAGACUUGUCUGACUCUGACCCAGAGAUUGUUAUUAAAAGGCCCUCUGAGUUUGAUCUUGCUGAUACAUUGCCAUGGGAACUUCAACAUGAAAGCAGUCCUUUACAGAAAGCAGCAGAAUAUGAGAAGGGUGCUGGGGAUCUUGUGCUUGCUAAUGAAGUACAACAGAGACACCAAUUUGCAGGCACAUGGAAUUAUUGCAAAUUUGGCACUGGAACUUGACCACAAGAAGGUCAGCAGGUUCAAUAUAUCAAGGUCAGCUGUAUGGGAUGGAGCUGUUAGAGGAUUUCGACGCAGCACAUACUCUGACAACUACGACAUGUUCAUCAAGUUUAAUGAUGAUGCUGGCAGCUUUGAAGAAGGUUUGGAUACAGGUGGCCCGGUGAAUUCCUCACACUUCUUAUGGGCAGUCUGCGAAAUCGCCCCAUCUUUGAUGGACCUCCAGAGAGCCGUUAUCUUGUAUAUAAUUCAAGAGCUGCCAGGCAAGAUGAGUACUUUUUAGCAGGAAAGAUGAUCGCUGUAUCCAUUGUGCAUGGGGGACCAGCACCACAUUUCCUCUCCAAGAACCUGGUCAACCACAUCACAGGGAAUCAGAGUUUCAGCGCCACUGUAGAAGAUGUGCAAGAUGAGGAGAUCACAAAAAUUUUACAUCAGGUCCUGAAAGCUGAAUCAGAGGAGUCUUUGCAUAAUCUUAUUUUGCAAAACAGCACAAUCUUCAAACUGCUGGAUGCCUCAGAAACGUCAAGCCUUUUGAGAAACAAGCAUUUGUGGAG